RNAcentral lists this long non-coding RNA (216 nucleotides) under Mytilus galloprovincialis (Mediterranean mussel). The record is from RNAcentral. Lineage: Eukaryota; Metazoa; Mollusca; Bivalvia; Mytilida; Mytilidae.
GAAGCACCAGCGUUCGUGCCAUCCGUGGCACUGAACUUGCCGCCACAGACAUCUGCUGUCUUGCCUUCCGAUACUAAGUCACCGGAAGUUACCUUAAUCCCAGAUCUGGGAAUAGUAACCGGCAUACAAAAACUAGACCUUUCAGAUGAGAUCCCUGCUGAACACCAAAAACAGGGUGUUAAAGAAGCGAUCCCUGUCUUACGCACAAAACAAGAC